AGACAGAAUGAUAGAGGAGAACUCAGUGUUCAGGAACAACUCACACACUUCCCCAUGUGACGCCACCAUUAUGUCAAUAUUUGCAAUGUACCUGUACACUUAUACUCAAGGCAGCUUGUUUAGCGUGAUGGAGAAACCCUGUAAGGUGGGCGGUGGCGGUGACGAUCAGUUUACUGAAAACAAUCAGCUGUUUGAGAACUGAGUUGUGACGCUGGUCCUUGGGCACAAGUCAAGAAAACAGAAAGUGGUGAUAGGCAACGAGUGCCUGUGUUUCAGGUAAACAUUGGAUGUGCUGACAGGACAAGGAGUGUCCUACAUCACACUCUGUUCACUACUUUGGAUCCCUACGGGGGCUGGAUCCCGACGGGCGCUGGAUCCCUACGGGCGCUGGAUCCCUACGGGGGUUGGAUCCCUAUGGGGCCUCGAUCCCUAUGGGCGCUGGAUCCCUACGGGGGCUGGUCAACAGUAGUCCACUAUAGUGUGAAUAGGAUGUGUCGGUGUUUCAGGUCAACAGCAGUCCACUAUAGUGUGAAUAGGAUGUGUCGGUGUUUCAGGUCAACAGUAGUCCACUAUAGUGUGAAUAGGAUGUGUCGGUGUUUCAGGUCAACAGUAGUCCACUAUAGUGUGAAUAGGAUGUGUCGGUGUUUCAGGUCAACAGUAGUCCACUAUAGUGUGAAUAGGAUGUGUCGGUGUUUCAGGUCAACAGUAGUCCACUAUAGAGUGAAUAGGAUGUGUCGGUGUUUCAGGUCAACAGUAGUCCACUAUAGUGUGAAUAGGAUGUGUCGGUGUUUCAGGUCAACAGUAGUCCACUAUAGUGUGAAUAGGAUGUGUCAGUGUUUCAGGUCAACAGUAGUCCACUGUAGUGUGAAUAGGAUGUGUCGGUGUUUCAGGUCAACAGUAGUCCACUAUAGUGUGAAUAGGAUGUGUCAGUGUUUCAGGUCAACAGUAGUCCACUAUAGUGUGAAUAGGAUGUGUCGGUGUUUCAGGUCAACAGUAGUCCACUAUAGAGUGAAUAGGAUGUGUCGGUGUUUCAGGUCAACAGUAGUCCACUAUAGUGUGAAUAGGAUGUGUCGGUGUUUCAGGUCAACAGUAGUCCACUAUAGUGUGAAUAGGAUGUGUCGGUGUUUCAGGUCAACAGUAGUCCACUAUAGUGUGAAUAGGAUGUGUCAGUGUUUCAGGUCAACAGUAGUCCACUAUAGUGUGAAUAGGAUGUGUCAGUGUUUCAGGUCAACAGUAGUCCACUAUAGAGUGAAUAGGAUGUGUCGGUGUUCCAUUUAGAUGGUUAGAUGGGAGAUUGACGGUAUUGUUUAAUUGGGUAAACUAAUGCCCCUAAUUGACAUUAGCAGGAGUGUGGGUGACCAUUGUUCCCUUGUUGAGGAAACCUACAGAACUAGUGGCACAAGAAUCUCUACAUAGUUAACCUCUUAUUUUCUGUAAGGCAUCCAGUGACUACUUGGCUGGUUGGCAUUUAUUAGGAUGACUCAUGUACUGGAGGCACCUCUGCAGGGUAAUCAUCAACUGACACAGCCACAAAGUUGUAAAAUCGUAUUUUAAACCUACCGCUAACCACACUGCUAACGUUAUGAUUAACCCUAACCUUAUAAUAUUUAUUUUUAAAUGUCAAGAAUUUUUACAAUAUAUAGUCAAUUUUGCAGCCCUGCCUCCAGGACAAGAUUCAUCCCAAUAAACGUCAACCUGCGCCUGAAGGUCUACAUUCCAAGUGCGUGACAACACCUGAUGUAAUGUAGUAGAGGAAGGACAGGUGAGGUGAGUUUUUGCUCAUGAGACACACUGACUGUCUGGAAAAAGUGAGAGACGCUAAAAGGACACUGCUUACCUGCAAAAUGACAAACGAAAAAAGAAACAUGACCUUAACCCUGACCUUAACCCUGACCUUAACCUAAUUUGAACCAAUUCUGAAAUGAAAUAUUGAUUUGCAGGUCAGGAGUGUAUCUAGCUAUGUCAGCCAUUAUGACGACCAGUAACGAUACUUUAGUUCAAUUUUAAGCCCAGAUUGUGUUAAAAUAAAAACAAUCUUAUGAUAAAUGUAUAAGAAUUUGACUUUAGAGAACGUCAAGUCUGACCAUGUCGUGACAGCCAUCUUGACAUUGUUCAGGCUGUAGUAGCACAGUAGUAACACUGGUGUUGACACGUGUCCAUAUAUCUGGAUGUUCACACUUCCCCUUUAAAGUACCAGAGACCACACACUGGUUUAAUAAUUAAAUGCUUCAGUCAGUGAUAGAAGCCCUGUUGUCGUUCACUCAUACUAUGUUUACUUAUCUGGUUUAAUACUGGGCCUGUAGCUACAGUAUAGCCACUCCUCCAUGCUGUAAGGCUACUGUGGCUCGGUUGGAGCACGGUUUGCAUAUGUGACCUCAUCCCUGCGGGAAUAGCUUGGUGCUCCCUCAGUCACAUAAUAACACAACAGAUGCUCGGCAGAAGCAUCCAUAGCUACAGUGCCCUUAGUCUAUCUGGCUUUCACCCUCGAGUCACACGUCCACCUCUGGAAUCUAUGGCGCUACGGUUGAUUUGUUGAACAUCUAUAAAUGCUUCCCUGUUGAAAGUCAACAGACAUGCUGUUGACGUCUUGCUGAUAGUCUAUUGGUAGUUUGUUGAGUAUCCAUCUACAGAUGGAAUAUCCAAGUAAAGUGUCACCUUUUCUUUUACAAAGCACUUAGGAGGAGAACAUACUAUCGUCCAAGUCAACAGGAAGCUAUGAGAUGUUAAAACCUGAGCUAUAGCUAACCUAGUUUCCAUAGUUAUGACCUC
Long non-coding RNA from Oncorhynchus keta (chum salmon), 2769 nucleotides. RefSeq lists it as uncharacterized. NCBI's taxonomy places the organism in Eukaryota, Metazoa, Chordata, Actinopteri, Salmoniformes, Salmonidae. The transcript is spliced from 3 exons. The record is from RefSeq and is a predicted model, not a curated record.